GAUGAAGAACGCAGCGAAAUGCGUUAAGUAAUGUGAAUUGCAGAAUUCAGUGAAUCAUCGAAUCUUUGAACGCACAUUGCGCCCCCUGGUAUUCCGGGGGGCAUGCCUGUUCGAGCGUCAUUUCACCACUCAAGCCUCGCUUGGUAUUGGGCAACGCGGUCCGCCGCGUGCCUCAAAUCGACCGGCUGGGUCUUCUGUCCCCUAAGCGUUGUGGAAACUAUUCGCUAAAGGGUGUUCGGGAGGCUACGCCGUAAAACAACCCCAUUUCUAAGGUUGACCUCGGAUCAGGUAGGGAUACCCGCUGAACUUAAGCAUAUCAAUAAGCGGAGGA
Molecule: unclassified non-coding RNA, 331 nt
Filed under: soil metagenome
Description: partial contains 5.8S ribosomal RNA, internal transcribed spacer 2, and large subunit ribosomal RNA
Rfam family: 5.8S ribosomal RNA (bases 1-120)
Source: RNAcentral